Non-coding RNA from Oryza barthii, 195 nucleotides. Lineage: Eukaryota; Viridiplantae; Streptophyta; Magnoliopsida; Poales; Poaceae. The record is from Rfam.
UUUAAGUACAAUUGUGGCUUUCAAUGGCAAUGUUUGAUUGUCCAUCUAUUUAAAAUUUUUUUAUGAUCAGUAUUUUUAUUAUUAUUAGAUGACAAGAUAUGAAUAAUAAUUUAUGUGUGAUUUAUAUUUUUAAUAUUUCUUAUAAUUUUUUUAAAUAAGAUGGACAGUUAAAUGUUAGACACGGAUGCACUUAAA